RNAcentral lists this ribosomal RNA (1494 nucleotides) under Triticum aestivum (bread wheat). Its description in RNAcentral is "partial small subunit ribosomal RNA". Lineage: Eukaryota; Viridiplantae; Streptophyta; Magnoliopsida; Poales; Poaceae. The record is from RNAcentral.
AUGUGGAUCCGCGGCACCGUGAGAGAGGUAACGUCGGCCGGUGCCUCACCACUGGCUAUUGUGGCGGCGGCAAGGAAAAGGGCGCCGAGGAUGUGCUGCUCUGUGCACGGUUUUGGUAGAUUUGAUUUAUCGGUGGCUAAGGCAGUGGUGAUGCCGCAGGAGCGCACGCUGAUCCAAUGGACAGGAGGGAAGCCGCUAACGCAUUCCGGCUAUCCCGGUGAGGUGUCUAAUAUAAGCUUGUGUUUUGAUCCAGCCGUGUCCCCCUAUUUCCAUGUGUUUUUGUUGCCGGCCGAGGAGGUGGAGGACCAACAUGACUUCUGUCUUACCGGGGUGCAUGUCUAUUCAUCUGAAACCGGGAGUUGGGUUCAUAAGGAGAAGAGAUGGAUCGGCAAUAUUGAUGUCGCUAAUGACCGGUCAACUAUCUAUCUUAAUGGUUAUCUGCGUUUCUGCGCCAUUGUUGAUGGUUCUGCCCGUCGUCUAGCUGCAGUGGACGAGGGGGGAGCAAGGACUAACUUUCAUAUUCCUGAUGGUCUGGAUAACUACAGUCGUUGCACAAGUGAUGUCUUAUUCGUGCUAUGGAGCAGUGGGCAUGGUACUUCCCAUGUUAGUCUUGCCUAUAAUGGUGCACAUACACUCUACUCCAAGGCGACUCUAAUUGUGUUAAUAAGAGAGGUAAUUCAACUUACUGCUGAGGCAUUUGCCUACUGGGAUGAUGUUCAACUCUGUUGGGAAAUUCAUGCUGGGAAGGACCCAAUAUGGCAGCUCGCCAAACUGCUAAAUAAUCUUUCCCAGGCCCUGGCGUUCCUUGGACACUGUAUUCAGCAAGAUUGUCAAAUGAUUGGUGCAGUUAAAGAAUUCAUGGCUGAAAUUUUCUCGCAAUGUAUUUCCCCUGCUCACCAUGAAGGACCUCAAGGACAUGGGCAACAGUGCCAUUUGGUCAUGGAGCUCCGUAGCAGCUGUUUCCCGAGUUGGUGGUUUUUAAACAUGGUUGAUUCUAACUACCGAGUACAUAGACAUCCAAACAAGAUCCUUGCCAUUCGAGGAUAUCUACAUCCUUGGGAUGAGCAUGCAACUAUUAAUGUCAAAACACGCACCUCAACAAGCAACCAUGUCGGCGCGUUUACCGGACCCGUGCACAGGACCAACAAGGCCCAAGAUACGGACCUAACUGCCAGACUUUCGUCAAGAAGAAAACCCAACCCGCAGUCAAGCACACGCGCCUCCCAUCGGCUGCCGCCCCCCUCCAAGAGCAUGGCUAUGCCCAUGGCCUUGGUCGUGCAGGUGCACCAUCGCCAAGGCCAUGGGUACGACGAUGGAUGGAUUUGGAGCUCCGUACAAGGUGGAUGCUUACUGGGACCUUCCUCUUGCCUCUUGCCUCUCCAUCUCAAUCCCCUCUCUGUCUUGUUUUAUGCAAAUGCGGUGGUCGACGACGCGUCCAGCCCUCCUGAUCCUCACCGAGAGAGGCCACCUUUACCGCAUCACCCCGACCGAUAG